AUGACGUCUCUCGUGGCGGCGUUGCUGCUGCUGUCGGUGCGGGCAGCUGUGACGGAGCCGUCGACUCCCACCCCGGAACCUACCGUCUGUGACGACAAUUACUCGUGCCCAGAGGGGGGCACGACUUGCUGCUGCAUCUACCGGCAGGGAGUGCUUCACCUGGACCAGCUGCCCGCUCCAAGGCACCACCUGCUGCGACGACAACUACAGUUGCUGCCCCCAUGA
Molecule: ribosomal RNA, 225 nt
Filed under: Triticum aestivum (bread wheat)
Lineage: Eukaryota; Viridiplantae; Streptophyta; Magnoliopsida; Poales; Poaceae
Description: partial small subunit ribosomal RNA
Source: RNAcentral